CGAAUAUAAGCCCCCGGAAUAUAAGCCCACCACAUAUACUAACGCUCAAUUCAUUCCAAAUAUAAGCCCCCCCCCGAACAUAAGCACACCCAAAUAUAAGUCCCCCGAAUAUAAGCCCAGUAGCCCACUACGUUAUUCAACAUUUUCAUUGUCUUUUAAUAUAGCAGAGAACGAUAUUUAAAAACAUUGUCAUUGUCUUUAUAGCCGACUAUAUGUUACGUUAAUCAAAGCACAUUAUUAAUGGAUGUAUAUUUUCCUGUUUAU
Non-coding RNA from Paramuricea clavata, 264 nucleotides. Lineage: Eukaryota; Metazoa; Cnidaria; Anthozoa; Malacalcyonacea; Plexauridae. The record is from the annotation of a GenBank genome assembly.